RNAcentral lists this ribosomal RNA (253 nucleotides) under uncultured bacterium. RNAcentral's name for it is "partial 16S ribosomal RNA". It matches the Rfam family "Bacterial small subunit ribosomal RNA", at positions 524 to 776 of the family's 1533-position model. The record is from RNAcentral.
UACGUAGGGCGCAAGCGUUAUCCGGAAUUAUUGGGCGUAAAGAGCUCGUAGGCGGUUUGUCGCGUCUGCCGUGAAAGUCCGGGGCUCAACUCCGGAUCUGCGGUGGGUACGGGCAGACUAGAGUGAUGUAGGGGAGACUGGAAUUCCUGGUGUAGCGGUGAAAUGCGUAGAUACCGGGAGGAACACCCGCAGCGAAGGCGGCCGGCUGGGCCAACCCUGACGCUGAGGCGCGAAGGCUCGGGGAGCGAACGGG